This 2544-nucleotide ribosomal RNA is filed under the name uncultured Actinomycetes bacterium. RNAcentral describes it as "uncultured actinobacterium partial 23S ribosomal RNA". The record is from RNAcentral. Lineage: Bacteria; Bacillati; Actinomycetota; Actinomycetes.
ACGUGGAAUUGAAUUCGUAACGGUGACCAUUGCGCUCGCUCACCACUGCCUCACCGUACGCAGCCGCAACUUUGGUUCCUGGCUCAAGUUGUGCGUAAUACGCUCCGAGGCGCAUGGUCCCGCCCAUGUCUGUGACAUCUCGCUGAUCGAUCAUCAGGUCAAUGACUGGGUUCUGAGUUGUCGGAUCGAACUCUGUUGAGUGCGCAUCAGCAAGUCCUAGAACGUGACGAGCGAAUUCGAUGGUCAUUACCUGCAUGCCCAAGCACAACCCGAGGCACGGCACGCCAUGUUCGCGAGCGUAUUGUGCUGCACGGAUCUUGCCUUCAACACCGCGAGCACCAAAUCCGCCAGGAAUGACAAUGCCAUCGAGUGUUGCUAAUUGCUCUUCGGCAAGUAGACCCUCAACGUUUUCAGCCUGAAUCCACACGAUCUCAACAUUUGCUGCAUGAUGGAAUCCAGCAUGCUUCAAACUUUCUACAACCGAAAGAUACGCGUCAUGAAGUUCUACAUAUUUUCCAAUGAGACCAAUGCGAACUGGCGCUGUUGAUGCCUCUACACGAGCAACCACUUCACGCCAAGGCGUGAGAUCAAGUGGCGCAUCAAUACGCAAAACAUCACAAAUCUGAGUAUCAAGACCUUCGUCAUGCAAAAUGAGCGGCAAUUCGUAAAUGUUGCGCGCGUCAGCGGCGUUAAUGACGUUCUUUUGAUCCACGUCACAUUGGUUGGAAAUUUUGCGCUUCAACUGAUCGCUAAUUGGCUCAUCGCUACGACACACGAUGAUGUCUGGCUGAAUACCGCGUGAACGAAGCUCGGUGACACUGUGUUGCGUUGGCUUUGUUUUCUGCUCGCCGCUUGGGCCGAUAAAGGGAACCAAGGUGACAUGCACGUAACACACGUUGUCACGACCAACUUCAUUUCGGAACUGACGUACGGCUUCGAGAAACGGCAAAAUUUCAAUGUCACCAACCGUUCCACCAAUUUCGGUGAUCACCACAUCGAUGUCGUCGGUUGCUAAGCGCUUAAUCCGGCGGCGGAUCUCGUCCGUUACGUGUGGAAUGACCUGAACAGUGCGACCGAGGUAGUCCCCUCGACGCUCGGCUGCAAGCACUGCCUGAUAAAUGCUGCCCGUUGUCGCAUUCGACGAACGCGACAGAUUUUCAUCGAUGAAGCGCUCAUAGUGACCAAGAUCUAAGUCUGUUUCUCCACCGUCAUCAGUGACAAACACUUCACCGUGUUCAAAUGGAUUCAUUGUUCCCGGAUCGACGUUGAUGUACGGAUCAAGUUUUUGCAUCGUCACACGCAAACCGCGCAUCUUCAAUAAUCUUCCAAGUGAAGAAGCGGUCAAACCUUUUCCAAGGGAGCUAGCAACGCCACCUGUCACGAACACGUGCUUUGGCAUUUUCGCUCUCCGUCCGCUCUCUAGGUUCUGUCGAAGAACCGUUUACCUCACGACGGGAGAUAAGCAUAACCUGUCGAGGACUACCGCCGAGAACGCUUAGAGGGUGCCUGGUUGGCCGAGUCGGAUUUAUGACUAUCUCGCAACAAUUCACGAGCGUGUUCUAGCGCUGUUGCCUCGGCUACUCCACCUGAAAGCAUUCUGGCGAUCUCGGCGAUGCGCUCUUCCUCGCCCAACGUUGCUGCCUGUGCAUAGGUCUUUCCAUUGCGCACCGACUUGGAAACCUGAAUAUGGGCAUGACCUGCUGCUGCAACUUGAGGUAGGUGAGUUACCACGAGAACUUGAUGACGCUUGCCAAGUAUCGCAAGUGCCUGAGCAACCGCGACUGCGGCUUCCCCACCGAUUCCGGCAUCAACUUCGUCGAACACCAAAGUGUUUGGUCCCGAUGACAACACCAAUCGCAAAGCCAACAUGGUGCGGGCUAGUUCACCACCCGAAGCAACCUUGGUCAACGGCAUAACCGGUGAACCUGGGUUGGCAGCCAGCAAAAAAACGACAUCGUCACCCGGGUCCGCCCCAACCGAAACAUCGAUCAAUGCAUGCGCCAUAGCCAAGGUGCGGAGGUUCUUUUGUACUUGUUGAGCCAACGGUGAUGCACCGUCUCGCCGAGCCUUGCCAACUACGGCCUGUGCGGCUUCGAGUUUGCGAACCGCAACUGCUCGUUCCUGAUCGAGGGUCGCUGCUCGGGCUUCAAAGGACUCCAACUCUGCAAGUCGCACAGCGCUUUCGUCGCCAAAGGCAAUCACUUCCUCAAGCGAAUCGCCAUACUUUCGCCUCAGAUCAACAAGUAACUGGCGACGUUGACGAACUUCGUCGAGUCGGGUUGGAUUUUCUUCGAUUGAAUCCGCUUCAUCUCGAAUAUCUGCAGAAACGUCUUCGAGUUCACUUUGCAAGGCCUUUAAUCGAGACACGAAACCAGCGAAUGGCUCUUUGUUGCUAAGUGCCGAGACUGCCGAACCCAAGUUGUCGGUGGCUCCCGACUCUUCCGAUAACGCUGCAACUGCUUUCCACAGGGCCUCGCGAUAAUUAACAGCGUCUGCGAGUACAUCUUCCUCUCGCGACAGCAGUUCGUCUUCGUCGGCACCCUG